This 411-nucleotide unclassified non-coding RNA is filed under the name Zea mays. Its description in RNAcentral is "misc RNA Zm00001eb018160". Lineage: Eukaryota; Viridiplantae; Streptophyta; Magnoliopsida; Poales; Poaceae. The record is from RNAcentral.
CUGUCCUGCGCAGGCUGCACUCAAGUUCCUGCCGUUCUGCGCGGCCUCCUAAACUCAAGUUCGCCACGCCACGCUCGGAUCGUAACCGUCCUGCGCUCGCUCCUGCUGUUCUGCGCGGCCUCCUACGCUCAAGUUCGCCAAGGUGAGAAGCCAGCUCAUGCGCUCGGAUCGGUAACCGUCUGCGGCUCCUGCGCUCAAGCUCGUCCACGGCUCCUGCGCUCAAGCUUGCCAAGACCCUUGAGUAGAGAGAGGCAGGAACAACAAUGGAUGUUGUUGCUGCACAAACAAAGGCUAUUGCUGAAAAAAUAUCAGAUUGGACAAAUAUUGUGUUGGCAUAUGAACCAGUUUGGGCUAUUGGUACCGGCAAGGUUGCAACUCCUGCUUAGGCUCAGGAGGUUCAUGAUGGUCUGA